GAUGAACGCUGGCGGCGUGCCUAAUACAUGCAAGUCGAACGAACAGACGAGGAGCUCGCUCCCCUGCCGUUAGCGGCGGACGGGUGAGUAACACGUGCAUAACCUACCUAUAAGACUGGGAUAACUACGGGAAACCGGAUCUAAUACCGGACCAUAUACUGAACCGCAUGGUUCAACAGAGCAAGACGGUUUGGAUGUCACUGAUAGAUGGUGCCAAGCCGGAUUAGCUAGUUGGUAAGGUAACGGCCUACCAAGGCUACGAUCCGGAGCUGACCUGAGAGGGUGAUCGGCCACACUGGAACUGAGACACGGUCCAGACUCCUACGGGAGGCAGCAGUGGGGAAUCUUCGACAAUGGGCGCAAGCCUGAUCCAGCCACGCCGCGUGAGUGAUGAAGGUCUUCGGAUCGUAAAGCUCUGUUGUUGGGAAAGAACAGAAGUGUGAGAAUCCAUCGACGUUAUGACGGUACCUAAAGAAAAAGCACCGGCUAACUACGUG
RNAcentral lists this ribosomal RNA (497 nucleotides) under uncultured bacterium. Its description in RNAcentral is "partial 16S ribosomal RNA". It matches the Rfam family "Bacterial small subunit ribosomal RNA", at positions 28 to 507 of the family's 1533-position model. The record is from RNAcentral.